RNAcentral lists this ribosomal RNA (186 nucleotides) under uncultured bacterium. Its description in RNAcentral is "partial 16S ribosomal RNA". It matches the Rfam family "Bacterial small subunit ribosomal RNA", at positions 707 to 895 of the family's 1533-position model. The record is from RNAcentral.
GNCCGAUUGCGGAGGCAGCUGGCCAGGCCGGGAUUGACGCUGAGGCACGAAAGCGUGGGGAGCGAACAGGAUUAGAUACCCUGGUAGUCCACGCCGUAAACGAUGAGCACUGGCUGUCGGCGACAGGCUGUCGGCGGCUGCGCGAAAGCGUUAAGUGCUCCACCUGGGGAGUACGGCCGCAAGGCU